This 419-nucleotide ribosomal RNA is filed under the name uncultured eukaryote. RNAcentral describes it as "bacterial SSU rRNA". It matches the Rfam family "Eukaryotic small subunit ribosomal RNA", at positions 592 to 1018 of the family's 1831-position model. The record is from RNAcentral.
CAAUAGCGUAUAUUAAAGUUGUUGCAGUUAAAAAGCUCGUAGUUGGAUCUCAGGAGGACUUCAGUUGGUCGGCCUAACUGGUCAGAACCGUCUGUCUCUUCCUUGUUUCUGAAUCCCGCCCGGAGUUCAUUCUUCGGGUGUGGACUUCAGAUCGUUUACCUUGAAAAAAUUAGAGUGUUCAAAGCGGGCGUUUGCUUGAAUAUAUUAGCAUGGAAUAAUAGAAUAGGACUUUGGUUCUAUUUUGUUGGUUUCUAGGACCGAAGUAAUGAUUAAUAGGGACAGUUGGGGGCAUUAGUAUUUAAUUGUCAGAGGUGAAAUUCUUGGAUUUAUGAAAGACUAACUACUGCGAAAGCAUUUGCCAAGGAUGUUUUCAUUAAUCAAGAACGAAAGUUAGGGGAUCGAAGAUGAUCAGAUACCAU